GGUUAAGCGACUAAGCGUACACGGUGGAUGCCCUGGCAGUCAGAGGCGAUGAAGGACGUGCUAAUCUGCGAUAAGCGUCGGUGAGGUGAUAUGAACCGUUAUAACCGGCGAUUUCCGAAUGGGGAAACCCAGUGUGUUUCGACACACUAUCAUUAACUGAAUCCAUAGGUUAAUGAGGCGAACCGGGGGAACUGAAACAUCUAAGUACCCCGAGGAAAAGAAAUCAACCGAGAUUCCCCCAGUAGCGGCGAGCGAACGGGGAGGAGCCCAGAGCCUGAAUCAGUGUGUGUGUUAGUGGAAGCGUCUGGAAAGGCGUGCGAUACAGGGUGACAGCCCCGUACACAAAAAUGCACAUAUUGUGAGCUCGAUGAGUAGGGCGGGACACGUGGUAUCCUGUCUGAAUAUGGGGGACCAUCCUCCAAGGCUAAAUACUCCUGACUGACCGAUAGUGAACCAGUACCGUGAGGGAAAGGCGAAAAGAACCCCGGCGAGGGGAGUGAAAAAGAACCUGAAACCGUGUACGUACAAGCAGUGGGAGCCUCUUAAUGGGGUGACUGCGUACCUUUUGUAUAAUGGGUCAGCGACUUAUAUUCUGUAGCAAGGUUAACCGAAUAGGGGAGCCGAAGGGAAACCGAGUCUUAACUGGGCGUUAAGUUGCAGGGUAUAGACCCGAAACCCGGUGAUCUAGCCAUGGGCAGGUUGAAGGUUGGGUAACACUAACUGGAGGACCGAACCGACUAAUGUUGAAAAAUUAGCGGAUGACUUGUGGCUGGGGGUGAAAGGCCAAUCAAACCGGGAGAUAGCUGGUUCUCCCCGAAAGCUAUUUAGGUAGCGCCUCGUGAAUUCAUCUCCGGGGUAGAGCACUGUUUCGGCAAGGGGUCAUCCCGACUUACCAACCCGAUGCAAACUGCGAAUACCGGAGAAUGUUAUCACGGGAGACACACGGCGGGUGCUAACGUCCGUCGUGAAGAGGGAAACAACCCAGACCGCCAGCUAAGGUCCCAAAGUCAUGGUUAAGUGGGAAACGAUGUGGGAAGGCCCAGACAGCCAGGAUGUUGGCUUAGAAGCAGCCAUCAUUUAAAGAAAGCGUAAUAGCUCACUGGUCGAGUCGGCCUGCGCGGAAGAUGUAACGGGGCUAAACCAUGCACCGAAGCUGCGGCAGCGACACUAUGUGUUGUUGGGUAGGGGAGCGUUCUGUAAGCCUGUGAAGGUGUGCUGUGAGGCAUGCUGGAGGUAUCAGAAGUGCGAAUGCUGACAUAAGUAACGAUAAAGCGGGUGAAAAGCCCGCUCGCCGGAAGACCAAGGGUUCCUGUCCAACGUUAAUCGGGGCAGGGUGAGUCGACCCCUAAGGCGAGGCCGAAAGGCGUAGUCGAUGGGAAACAGGUUAAUAUUCCUGUACUUGGUGUUACUGCGAAGGGGGGACGGAGAAGGCUAUGUUGGUCGGGCGACGGUUGUCCCGGUUUAAGCGUGUAGGCUGGUUUUCCAGGCAAAUCCGGAAAACCAAGGCUGAGGCGUGAUGACGAGGCACUACGGUGCUGAAGCGACAAAUGCCCUGCUUCCAGGAAAAGCCUCUAAGCAUCAGGUAACAUCAAAUCGUACCCCAAACCGACACAGGUGGUCAGGUAGAGAAUACCAAGGCGCUUGAGAGAACUCGGGUGAAGGAACUAGGCAAAAUGGUGCCGUAACUUCGGGAGAAGGCACGCUGAUAUGUAGGUGAAGCGACUUGCUCGUGGAGCUGAAAUCAGUCGAAGAUACCAGCUGGCUGCAACUGUUUAUUAAAAACACAGCACUGUGCAAACACGAAAGUGGACGUAUACGGUGUGACGCCUGCCCGGUGCCGGAAGGUUAAUUGAUGGGGUUAGCGGUAACGCGAAGCUCUUGAUCGAAGCCCCGGUAAACGGCGGCCGUAACUAUAACGGUCCUAAGGUAGCGAAAUUCCUUGUCGGGUAAGUUCCGACCUGCACGAAUGGCGUAAUGAUGGCCAGGCUGUCUCCACCCGAGACUCAGUGAAAUUGAACUCGCUGUGAAGAUGCAGUGUACCCGCGGCAAGACGGAAAGACCCCGUGAACCUUUACUAUAGCUUGACACUGAACAUUGAGCCUUGAUGUGUAGGAUAGGUGGGAGGCUUUGAAGUGUGGACGCCAGUCUGCAUGGAGCCGACCUUGAAAUACCACCCUUUAAUGUUUGAUGUUCUAACGUUGGCCCGUAAUCCGGGUUGCGGACAGUGUCUGGUGGGUAGUUUGACUGGGGCGGUCUCCUCCUAAAGAGUAACGGAGGAGCACGAAGGUUGGCUAAUCCUGGUCGGACAUCAGGAGGUUAGUGCAAUGGCAUAAGCCAGCUUGACUGCGAGCGUGACGGCGCGAGCAGGUGCGAAAGCAGGUCAUAGUGAUCCGGUGGUUCUGAAUGGAAGGGCCAUCGCUCAACGGAUAAAAGGUACUCCGGGGAUAACAGGCUGAUACCGCCCAAGAGUUCAUAUCGACGGCGGUGUUUGGCACCUCGAUGUCGGCUCAUCACAUCCUGGGGCUGAAGUAGGUCCCAAGGGUAUGGCUGUUCGCCAUUUAAAGUGGUACGCGAGCUGGGUUUAGAACGUCGUGAGACAGUUCGGUCCCUAUCUGCCGUGGGCGCUGGAGAACUGAGGGGGCUGCUCCUAGUACGAGAGGACCGGAGUGGACGCAUCACUGGUGUUCGGGUUGUCAUGCCAAUGGCACUGCCCGGUAGCUAAAUGCGGAAGAGAUAAGUGCUGAAAGCAUCUAAGCACGAAACUUGCCCCGAGAUGAGUUCUCCCUGACGACUUAGAGUCUCCUGAAGGAACGUUGAAGACGACGACGUUGAUAGGCCGGGUGUGUAAGCGCAGCGAUGCGUUGAGCUAACCGGUACUAAUGAACCGUGAGGCUUAACCUU
Molecule: ribosomal RNA, 2901 nt
Filed under: Escherichia coli
Lineage: Bacteria; Pseudomonadati; Pseudomonadota; Gammaproteobacteria; Enterobacterales; Enterobacteriaceae
Description: 23S ribosomal RNA
Rfam family: Bacterial large subunit ribosomal RNA
Source: RNAcentral